GCCAGAGCUGUGGGCGGGAGGGACCAGAGCUGUGCCCGGGGCCGCAGCGGAGCAGCUCCAUGGGUCCAGCGCUGCCUCUGGGGCUCCUCUUGGGGCUGCAGGGGAUCCUGGGGGACCCGGGCGGCCCGACAAGAGUUCUCCAUUCCCUGCGUUACCUGUCUGUGGCGGUGUCAGAGCCCAGCCCGGGGGUCCCCCAGUUCAUGGAAUUGGGGUUGGUGGACGGGAUCCCCUUCACGCGCUACGACAGCGAGCGGGGCCGGAAAGUGCCGCUGACGCGGUGGAUGGAGGAGGGAGCUGAGCCGGGAUAUUGGGAGCGCCAGACCCAGAUCUGUCAGGUGAACCAGCAUGUGCGUGUGGAGGACCUGAAGACGCUGCGGCACCGGUACAACCAGAGCGGGGGUCUCCACACCAUACAGUUGCUUUCCGGCUGUGACCUCCUGUCUGACGGGAGUGUCCGUGGAUCCGAGCGGUUCGGCUACGAUGGGCGGGAUUUCAUCUCCUUCGAGCUGGGAUCCAAGAGCUUCGUGGCGGCUGACGACGCUGCUGAGAUCACACGGAAGCGCUGGGAAGAUGAGAACGUGGCUGAGGGGCGGGAGAAUAGCCUGAAACAUGUCUGCCCAGAAUGGCUCCGGAAAUACAUUGGAUACGGGAUGAAAGAGCUGGAGCGCAAAGUGGUCCCUGACGUCCAUGUGUCCGGGAAAGAGGAACACGGGACACUGAUCCUAUCCUGCCACGUGUACGGAUUCUAUCCCAACACCAUCGCAGUCAACUGGAUGAAGGGGGGUGAAAUCCGGGAUCAGGAGACAGAGUGGGGCAGGAUCGUUCCCAACAGCGACGGCACCUUCCACACCUGGGCCAGGAUCGAGGCGCUGCCGGAGGAGUGGGAGCAGUACCAGUGCCGGGUGGACCAUCCCGGAAUGCUGGAACCCGGGAUCUUCGCUUGGGAGCCAACAUCUGGCAUGAAUCUCGCUGUGGUGAUCGCUGUGUCCGUCAUCGCUGCCAUCCUCGUCCUUGUCCUCAUUGGAUUCGGUGUCUGGAGGCUCCAAUCCAGGAAGAGGGACGGGAAUGGAUACAACCCGCCAGCCAGAAGGGACAUGGAAAUGAAUGGCUGAACCACAUUUAUGGAGCAGGAAUCGCCGCCUCAGCGAUCCAUGGAGCUGGAUCGGGCCCUUUCCCUGUUCCUGGGAAAGCCGAGAGCUGCCAGCAGAGCUCAUCCCACUGCUGCCACCCACCCCACAGCUCUUGCUAACGGAUCGAUUUCCUGUUUUCCAAUGUUUUAGAGCCAAAACCCACAAAUAUUCCCGAUGCUUUACUUCUGGUGUGAAAUUAUCCUGCUUGGGGCAAGAAAUCCUGCUUGGAGCAAGAAAUCCGGGUUCCUCCUCCAGUGUCCAGCAGUUCCUCUCUGGGAGCCUGGAGUGGGAGUGGGGACACUGGGGACAGGGAUGGGGACACUGGCAGUAGGGAUGGGAACAGCAGGAAUGGGAAUGGGGACCCCAGGAACUGGGGUGGGGACCCCAGGAGCAGGGUGAGGACACCAGGACCAGGGUGAGGACACCAGGACUGGGACAGGGACACCAGGAACAGGUUUGAGACACCAGGAGCAGGAUGGGGACACCAGGAGUGGGAUGGGGACACCAGGACUGAGAUGGGGAUACCAGGAGCAGGAUGGGGACACCAGGACUGGGUUGGGGACAUCAGGAGCAGGGUGGGGACUUGCCAGCCACACCCAGCUCCAUUCCCCAGGAUUCAUUUCCCAUUCCGUGUCCCAUAUCCAAGGUAUCCCCAGGAGGGUUUGGCCACACUGGGCUCCUGGAGGGGCAGUGGGAUGGGGGGAGGGGUCAGACCAGGCCUCGCUGUCCCCAGGUGUCCUUGAGUGUCCCAAAAUCGGUGCUUGGGAUCACAGAGAGGUUCCCUGGCCAUGACCAUGGCCAUGACACAAGCACAAGAUGGCCGUGAGAUGAGAGUGACCAUGAGUGACACAACCCUGAGAUGACCACGACCAUGGGAUAACCAUGACUGUGACCACAACUGUGACCAUGACUGUGACCAUGGCUGUGACUAUGACCAGGAGAUGACCAUGACCAUGACACAACCACAACCCUGACCAUGAGAUGAUUUGGACCAAGAGAUGACCAUGGCUUGGCCAUGAGACAGCCGUGGCCUUGAGGUGACGCUGAUGUGAUUGUGGCCAUGAGAUGACCAUGAGGUGACAAUGGCAUGAUCAUGAGAUGACCAUUACAGUGGGAUGACCAUGAGCAUAAGAUGAUGGUGAUCAGGAAAUGACUGUGACCAUGAGACAACCACAAGAUGAUCGUGACAUCGUGACAGAUGACCACGAGAUAACCAUGACACCACCAUAGUCAUGAAAUGAUGGAAGGCCUUGAGAUGACCUUGACUGUGACCAUGACAUGAUCUUGACCAAGAAGUGCCACACCACACCAUAGCUGUGUGGUGAUCAAGACCAUGAGAUGAUCAUGACACAACCAUGGCUGUGAGAUGAUUGUGACCAUGAGGUGACUGUGAGAUGACCAUGAGGUGACCAUGACCAUAAGAUGAUGGUGAUGACCAUAACCGUGGGAAAUAAAAAAACUCUUACAGAAUAAGGACCUUUUCCACCUUUGUUAAAUCCCAGUCACUUCCGUUCACUUUUGUUCACCAAAAAGCACUCUGGGAAGGGUUCAGCUGCAGGUCAGAUGGUCCGAGAGUGGGCUGGUGGUCAUCUCAUGGGUGAGGCAGUGAUUGGCUGGGGAGAUGCGUGGCCACCACAUGAUCAGAGAGCUGACUGGGUAAAGGAAUGCAUCAACAGCGACACUACAGUGGCAGACAGCCAAUGCAUGCUUGGUUCGGUUUAGUUAAGUUUGGUUAAGUUUGGGUCAGGCUUGGUUAGGUUUGGGUUAGGUUUUGUUAAGUUUGGGUUAUGUUUCAAGUAUAAAAAGGCUCAGUUGGUUACAAUAAAGGAUCUUUGAA
This is an RNA transcript of Poecile atricapillus (Black-capped chickadee), 2967 nucleotides long. It is a transcript of the gene named class I histocompatibility antigen, F10 alpha chain-like, with no coding region annotated. The transcript is spliced from 9 exons. Lineage: Eukaryota; Metazoa; Chordata; Aves; Passeriformes; Paridae. The record is from RefSeq and is a predicted model, not a curated record.